This 652-nucleotide ribosomal RNA is filed under the name Blommersia wittei. RNAcentral describes it as "partial 16S ribosomal RNA". The stretch from base 1 to 449 matches the Rfam family "Bacterial large subunit ribosomal RNA", at positions 615 to 1301 of the family's 2925-position model. Lineage: Eukaryota; Metazoa; Chordata; Amphibia; Anura; Mantellidae. The record is from RNAcentral.
AUGGUCUAGCUAGUAAAAUUAAGCAAAAAGAACUUUAAGUUUAACCCCCCGAAACUAGGUGAGCUACUUCAAAACAGCUAGUAGAGCUAACCCAUCUCUGUUGCAAUAGAGUGGGGUGAUUUUCAAGUAGAGGUGAUAAACCUACCGCACCAAGAGAUAGCUGGUUGCUCAAAAAAAGAAUUUAAGUUCAACCUUAAGUUUUUUUAGUUUUCUAAAACACCCAUAAAACUUAAGAGCCAUUCAAAUAAGGCACAGCUUAUUUGAAAUAGGAAACAACCUAAAAGAUUGGGUAAUCAUAAAUAAGAAAAAUAUUAAGUGGGCCUAAAAACAGCCAUCUUUUAAAAAACGUUAAAGUUUUUUAUUUUAUUCUUAUCUAAUACCACGAUUCUUAAAGAACCCAUAAACCUUAUUGAGUAAUUCUAUAUAACUAUAGAAAGUUUUAUGCUAGAACUAGUAACAAGAAGCAGAACUUCUCAAAAAUGUAAGCUUAAGCCACUCUAGACAACCUACCGGCAAUUAACGCGGAUGAACCAAUUUUAACAACGUUACAAGAAAACCUUAAAAACAUUAGCGUCAACCUUACACUAGAACAUUUUUUGAAAGAUUAAAAGAAAGAGAAGGAACUCGGCAAAUUUUAACCCCGCCUGUUUAC